Molecule: transfer RNA, 73 nt
Filed under: Fragilariopsis cylindrus CCMP1102
Lineage: Eukaryota; Bacillariophyta; Bacillariophyceae; Bacillariales; Bacillariaceae
Rfam family: tRNA
About the family: Transfer RNA (tRNA) molecules are approximately 80 nucleotides in length. Their secondary structure includes four short double-helical elements and three loops (D, anti-codon, and T loops).
Source: Rfam by way of RNAcentral
GCAGAGGUGGUCUAGAUGUUUAUGACGCACCUUUAACACAGCUGAGGACGGGGGUUCGAUUCCCCUCCAUGUA